UACGGGGGGUGCGAGCGUUGUCCGGAAUUACUGGGCGUAAAGGGCUCGUAGGCGGCCAACUAAGUCAGACGUGAAAUCCCCAGGCUCAACCUGGGAACUGCGUCUGAUACUGGAUGGCUUGAAUUCGGGAGAGGGAUGCAGAAUUCCAGGUGUAGCGGUGAAAUGCGUAGAUAUCUGGAGGAAUACCGGUGGCGAAGGCGGCAUCCUGGACCGACAUUGACGCUGAUGAGCGAAAGCUAGGGGAGCAAACGGG
This 253-nucleotide ribosomal RNA is filed under the name uncultured bacterium. RNAcentral's name for it is "partial 16S ribosomal RNA". It matches the Rfam family "Bacterial small subunit ribosomal RNA", at positions 524 to 776 of the family's 1533-position model. The record is from RNAcentral.